GGGCGUAAAGAGCUCGUAGGUGGUUCGUUACGUCGGAUGUGAAAAUCUGGGGCUCAACCCCAGACCUGCAUUCGAUACGGGCGAUCUAGAGUGUGGUAGGGGAGACUGGAAUUCCUGGUGUAGCGGUGGAAUGCGCAGAUAUCAGGAGGAACACCAAUGGCGAAGGCAGGUCUCUGGGCCAUUACUGACACUGAGGAGCGAAAGCGUGGGGAGCGAACAGGAUUAGAUACCCUGGUAGUCCACGCCGUAAACGGUGGGCACUAGUUGUGGGAACCUUCCACGGUUUCUGCGACGCAGCUAACGCAUUAAGUGCCCCGCCUGGGGAGUACGAUCGCAAGAUUAAAACUCAAAGGAAUUGACGGGGCCCCGCACAAGCAGCGGAGCAUGCGGCUUAAUUCGACGCAACGCGAAGAACCUUACCAAGGCUUGACAUAUACCGGAAUAUGGCAGAGAUGUCAUAGCUGUAAAAGGUCGGUAUACAGGUGGUGCAUGGUUGUCGUCAGCUCGUGUCGUGAGAUGUUGGGUUAAGUCCCGCAACGAGCGCAACCCUCGUUCUGUGUUGCCAGCAUUUAGUUGGGGACUCACAGGAGACUGCCGGGGUCAACUCGGAGGAAGGUAAU
Molecule: ribosomal RNA, 620 nt
Filed under: uncultured Actinomycetes bacterium
Lineage: Bacteria; Bacillati; Actinomycetota; Actinomycetes
Description: bacterial SSU rRNA
Rfam family: Bacterial small subunit ribosomal RNA
Source: RNAcentral